AUUGAACGCUGGCGGCAUGCUUUACACAUGCAAGUCGAACGGUAACAGGCCGUCGGGUGCUGACGAGUGGCAGACGGGUGAGUAAUGCAUAGGAACGUGCCCAGAGGUGGGGGGAAAGGCAGCAAAAGGGGAGAUAGUACCGAAUAGGGGAUGAGAAUGAGAGCGGGGGGGGAGGAAGGAAAGUUUGGGCUGUGGCGUUAGGAAUAGACGGUGUCGGAUUGGGUAGUUGGGGGGGUAAGGGCCUACCAAGCCGACGAUCUGUAGCUGAUCUGAGAGGAGGACCAGCCACACUGGGACUGAGACACGGCCCAGACUCCUACGGGAGGCAGCAGUGGGGAAUUUUCGACAAUGGGCGCAAGCCUGAUCCAGCAAUGCCGCGUGCGGGAUGAAGGCCUUCGGGUUGUAAACCUCUGUUGUUCGGAACGAACAGGUUCUGGCUAAUACCUGGGGCUGAUGACGGUACCGUAAGAAUAAGCACCGGCUAACUACGUG
This 492-nucleotide ribosomal RNA is filed under the name uncultured bacterium. RNAcentral describes it as "partial 16S ribosomal RNA". It matches the Rfam family "Bacterial small subunit ribosomal RNA", at positions 29 to 507 of the family's 1533-position model. The record is from RNAcentral.